GAUGAACGCUGGCGGCGUGCCUAAUACAUGCAAGUCGAGCGAGAAACUCAUGACUGAUUCUUCGGAUGAAGGAUUGAGCGGAAAGCGGCGGACGGGUGAGCAACGCGUGGGUAACCUGCCCCAUACAGAGGGAUAGCAGUUGGAAACGACUAUUAAUACCUCAUAUACUAUUAAAAUCGCAUGAUUUAAAUAGGAAAGAUUUUAUCGGUAUGGGAUGGACCCGCGUCUGAUUAGCUAGUUGGUGAGGUAACGGCUCACCAAGGCGACGAUCAGUAGCCGACCUUAGAGGGUGAUCGGCCACACUGGAACUGAGACACGGUCCAGACUCCUACGGGAGGCAGCAGUAGGGAAUAUUGGGCAAUGGGGGCAACCCUGACCCAGCAACGCCGCGUGAACGAUGAAGGUCUUCGGAUUGUAAAGUUCUUUUCUUGAGGAAGAAGAAAGUGACGGUACUCAAGGAAUAAGCACCGGCUAACUACGUGCCAGCAGCCGCGGUAAUACGUAGGGUGCAGGCGUUAUCCGGAAUCACUGGGCGUAAAGGGUGCGUAGGCGGCCUAACAAGUCAGAAGUUAAAUCCAUUGGCUCAACCAAUGUCAGCUUUUGAAACUGUUUGGCUUGAAUACGGGAUGGGCAAGUGGAAUUCCUAGUGUAGCGGUGAAAUGCGUAGAUAUUAGGAGGAACAUCAGUGGCGAAGGCGACUUGCUGGACUGAGAUUGACGCUGAGGCACGAAAGCGUGGGGAGCGAACAGG
Molecule: ribosomal RNA, 750 nt
Filed under: uncultured bacterium
Lineage: Bacteria
Description: bacterial SSU rRNA
Rfam family: Bacterial small subunit ribosomal RNA
Source: RNAcentral